RNAcentral lists this long non-coding RNA (1153 nucleotides) under Olea europaea subsp. europaea. Lineage: Eukaryota; Viridiplantae; Streptophyta; Magnoliopsida; Lamiales; Oleaceae. The record is from RNAcentral.
CUUUAAUCAUCAAACAUCAUUUCCUGAUCCUAAUCCAAAAGGCAAGAACACCAAUUCAACAUCAAAUUCAAACCACAACAUAAAAAGGUAAGAUUUUUACUCAACUCUAAAUUUUUGCAUACUUUUGAGCUUACAUUUGAAAAUUGUGAUUUUGAUUAUUAAUAAGGAGAUGGGAUUAGGUAGUAACUGGGUUUUGUUGGUAGAUUUAGAAUGAUAAAUUUUGGAUUCAACUCAUUUAUCCUCUGUUAGAAGCUAAUUAGAUAGGUUUUGAUUGAAGUGCUUUCGUCUAACAACUGGAAUCUAGGCAGGAAUCAUUCAUAUGAAGUCUAGUCCAUGUAAUUCACCCUAAAAAAGGCAUUACACUUUUCAAGAAUGUAUGAGGUCAAAGUGUAGGAAGAAGCGUCCUACAUUUUGAGUUACUUCAAAAAAAAAAAAAAAAAAAAGGAGAAGAGAGAGAGAGAGAAGGACUAGCAUUGUGUGGUGUUACCUACCCAGAAUGGAGAGAAGAAAUAUUAGGAAAAAGCAUGCUGUUGUUGAUCUUCUCAAUAAUUGAGCAAAAUAGCUAACUCCAAGUGAGCUGAAAAUAAGAAUUAUUAAAAGAAAAUAGAGUGAAAAAGAAGAGCUAUGUAGGGAGGGGGGAAAAAAAGAAGAAAAAAGAAGAAGGAAAUCCUGUUCAUACUUGUCUACAUGGGUAUAUGAACAAUGAAAAAGGUAAAAGUGCUGCAUUUCCUAGCUAAACCUUGGACUCUUAACUUGGGGGCAAGAAUUUCUUUUGGAGGUUAUUAGCUAAGUUGAAGAUUGGAGGUUGAGAGACUCAACUCUCAGGAGAGUCAUAAUAAAUCGAGGUAGUGACUUCCAUUGGUUAAAUCAAUCGAACUUGAGUGAGAAAUGAAUGAGUCAUGGGAAUUCAACAUUUACAAUAGACCAUCGGAGAGUGAGAAUGUAUAACAAGUUUGGAGGUGUACAUCUUACUAGAGAAGAAUAACUAUUUGACGAUUGAGGGUUGGAAAAAUAAUUAACUUCGAAGUUUAUCUUGAAUAAAUUACCAUGCGAACACAUACAUCGAUCUAACAUUGGAUAGGUGAAUGAAUUAAUCCCGAUAGCAUCCCUUUGAAGCCAAUUAUGCAUUGUUCAAGUGAUUUCAAUACGUGAG